RNAcentral lists this ribosomal RNA (460 nucleotides) under uncultured bacterium. RNAcentral's name for it is "partial 16S ribosomal RNA". It matches the Rfam family "Bacterial small subunit ribosomal RNA", at positions 338 to 795 of the family's 1533-position model. The record is from RNAcentral.
CCUACGGGUGGCAGCAGUGAGGAAUAUUGGUCAAUGGACGCAAGUCUGAACCAGCCAUGCAGCGUGCAGGAAGACGGCCCUAUGAGUUGUAAACUGCUUUUGUACGAGGGUAAACGCAGAUACGCGUAUCUGUCUGAAAGUAUCGUACGAAUAAGGAUCGGCUAACUCCGUGCCAGCAGCCGCGGUAAUACGGAGGAUUCAAGCGUUAUCCGGAUUUAUUGGGGUUAAAGGGUGCGUAGGCGGUCGGAUAAGUUAGAGGUGAAAUCCCGAGGCUCAACUUCGGAAUUGCCGCUGAUACUGGUCGGCUUGAGAGUAGUUGCGGUAGGCGGAAUGUAUGGUGUAGCGGUGAAAUGCUUAGAGAUCAUACAGAACACCGAUUGCGAAGGCAGCUUACCAAGCUACUUCUGACGUUGAGGCACGAAGGCGUGGGGAGCAAACAGGAUUAGAUACCCUUGUAGUC